AACGAACGCUGGCGGCAGGCCUAACACAUGCAAGUCGAACGCCCUAGCAAUAGGGAGUGGCAGACGGGUGAGUAACACGUGGGAACGUGCCCUUCGGUUCGGAAUAACUCAGGGAAACUUGAGCUAAUACCGGAUACGUGCGAGAGCAGAAAGAUUUAUCGCCGGAGGUUCGGCCCGCGUCCGAUUAGCUAGUUGGUGAGGUAAUGGCUCACCAAGGCGACGAUCGGUAGCUGGUCUGAGAGGAUGACCAGCCACACUGGGACUGAGACACGGCCCAGACUCCUACGGGAGGCAGCAGUGGGGAAUAUUGGACAAUGGGCGCAAGCCUGAUCCAGCCAUGCCGCGUGAGUGAUGAAGGCCCUAGGGUUGUAAAGCUCUUUCGCCAGGGACGAUAAUGACGGUACCUGGAUAAGAAGCCCCGGCUAACUUCGUGCCAGCCGCCGCGGUAA
Molecule: ribosomal RNA, 449 nt
Filed under: uncultured bacterium
Lineage: Bacteria
Description: partial 16S ribosomal RNA
Rfam family: Bacterial small subunit ribosomal RNA
Source: RNAcentral